AACGAACGCUGGCGGCAGGCUUAACACAUGCAAGUCGAGCGCCCCGCAAGGGGAGCGGCAGACGGGUGAGUAACGCGUGGGAAUCUACCCAACUCUACGGAAUAACUCAGGGAAACUUGUGCUAAUACCGUAUACGCCCUUCGGGGGAAAGAUUUAUCGGAGUUGGAUGAGCCCGCGUUGGAUUAGCUAGUUGGUGGGGU
RNAcentral lists this ribosomal RNA (200 nucleotides) under uncultured bacterium. RNAcentral describes it as "partial 16S ribosomal RNA". It matches the Rfam family "Bacterial small subunit ribosomal RNA", at positions 29 to 258 of the family's 1533-position model. The record is from RNAcentral.